UCCUGGACAACAUUGACAAUUUGACCUCAAAUCAGGUAGGAUUACCCGCUGAACUUAAGCAUAUCAAUAAC
This 71-nucleotide ribosomal RNA is filed under the name Pluteus variabilicolor. RNAcentral describes it as "partial 28S ribosomal RNA". The record is from RNAcentral. Lineage: Eukaryota; Fungi; Basidiomycota; Agaricomycetes; Agaricales; Pluteaceae.